CGGCGAAUGAUCUGUGUCC
This 19-nucleotide non-coding RNA is filed under the name Arabidopsis thaliana (thale cress). Lineage: Eukaryota; Viridiplantae; Streptophyta; Magnoliopsida; Brassicales; Brassicaceae. The record is from RNAcentral.